This 699-nucleotide ribosomal RNA is filed under the name Pedobacter sp. RNAcentral's name for it is "bacterial SSU rRNA". It matches the Rfam family "Bacterial small subunit ribosomal RNA", at positions 95 to 792 of the family's 1533-position model. Lineage: Bacteria; Pseudomonadati; Bacteroidota; Sphingobacteriia; Sphingobacteriales; Sphingobacteriaceae. The record is from RNAcentral.
GUGGCGCACGGGUGCGUAACGCGUAUGCAACCUACCUUAAUCAGGGGGAUAGCCCGGAGAAAUCCGGAUUAAUACCGCAUAAAAUCACAGGAUUGCAUAAUCCAAUGAUCAAACAUUUAUGGGAUUGAGAUGGGCAUGCGUGUCAUUAGCUAGUUGGCGGGGUAACGGCCCACCAAGGCGACGAUGACUAGGGGAUCUGAGAGGAUGGCCCCCCACACUGGUACUGAGACACGGACCAGACUCCUACGGGAGGCAGCAGUAAGGAAUAUUGGUCAAUGGAGGCAACUCUGAACCAGCCAUGCCGCGUGCAGGAAGACUGCCCUAUGGGUUGUAAACUGCUUUUAUCCGGGAAUAAACCUUUCUACGUGUAGAAAGCUGAAUGUACCGGAAGAAUAAGGAUCGGCUAACUCCGUGCCAGCAGCCGCGGUAAUACGGAGGAUCCAAGCGUUAUCCGGAUUUAUUGGGUUUAAAGGGUGCGUAGGCGGCCUGUUAAGUCAGGGGUGAAAGACGGUAGCUCAACUAUCGCAGUGCCCUUGAUACUGAUGGGCUUGAAUGGACUAUAGGUAGGCGGAAUGAGACAAGUAGCGGUGAAAUGCAUAGAUAUGUCUCAGAACACCGAUUGCGAAGGCAGCUUACUAUGGUCUUAUUGACGCUGAGGCACGAAAGCGUGGGGAUCAAACAGGAUUAGAUACCCUGGUA